UCCAAGAAUAUUAACGGUGCAAUAUGGUAUACUGUACAUUUACAUAUGACUUUGUUGUUUAGUUUAAUUUACAUUUCCAGCGUUAAAAGAUGUUCUUUUGGACUAAUAUAAUUCUGCCAGACCUGCUACACAGUUCUUUAAGUUUGCACUUUGCUGUUCCUUAUUAUUGCCACCUUUCAUUCUUUAGAAUGAUAAGCUCAGUACACAUGCAAGGUAAGAGUUUGACUACUGUCUACAGCCAUUCCGUUGAUAUAAAGGCUUCCUGCAUAUAUCUUUGUGGAACAUAUGCCGGUUUCUUAAAUCUAACCUAUUUCUUUUCAUUAAAAAUUUCAUGUGAAUAUCAAUGUUCAUAACUGGAUUCUAUCCUGAAGUAGAUUGCAUUAUAUUAAUAGAGAACUACGUUCUUUUAUCUGUUAUGUUAUGCUGAUACAAGGUCUUAAUAGUGCUGUUUCAUAUAAACAAGUGGUGUUGUUCUUGCUUAAAUAUUUUGCAGGAUUGAGGUAACAGAGUCAUUUCUGGUUAGAUAGCUUGCUUUUAGAUGCUCCAAAGGAAUUUGGAUCGGUCCAUUAGGAUUUUUCCGAGUUGUAGUUUUGUUGAUGUAUAUAGUAAAAAGAAUACGUAACUAUAUGUAAGAGCCCUUAUCUGUAAACUAGAAAAAAAUAAUCUUUGAGUUUGGUACUGUAAAUACCACUCCUGAUUUCUGAUAAGAUAAGUUUAUAUGUAACUUGCAAUUUCUGAAAAAGAUAUCUUAGUAACAGAUACAUAUCUUUUGCCGGAUUCCUUGGAAACUCAAAUAUCAUCAAUCUGAUGCUGAAGGGACUCAAAUAAUAAAUAGCAUUUUCUGAUUUGGAUUUGAAUAUCAGGAUAUGUGCUCCGUAUUGCCACACGUUUACCCCAGCUAACUUGCUACAUAAAAUUUCACUUUCCAUUUCAUCCUUGUACAUAUGUACUAUAUUGACUUUCUUUCUGAUAGACUAGAGAAUACCUCAGUUUUCUCAUUCAAAAGACUAGAGAAUACUUUCUUUCUGUAGUAUAAUGGCUAGUAAUUGGUUAGUGACUUAUUAUUUUAUAGUUUCAGCUGAAUCUCACUGCUUGUGUACCUCUGUCGUGGAAAUUAGAUGUAUUCGUACGGUCUUGCUGUUUUCAAUGGUUAAGAACUGAUUUCUGGCUGGAAAGAUGGCUCAAACAUCUAAAGGGGCAUUAAGAUUUAUUUGUGAAUUAAAUAAUGAUCAGCAAAACCAGUGUCUUAAGCAGUAUCAGAACAGGCUGAUGAAUAAAUAUUAUGUACCUCUGGGUUUGGGAGUGAGCCUUGAAGAAGAGAUUAUGAGUUGUUUUUUCUUAAUUUGGAUAAACAAAAUGUGCAUAUUUUGGGACCUGCAUCCAUCAUCGUUGUCAAUCAUCUAAGACUUUCCUCUUCAAAUUUAGGAAAGCUAUUACGCAUAAAAGCAAAUUUUCUAGCAGAUCAUCCUCAUCCUCAUCAUCAAUUGUGUUCUGCUCAAAAGAGAUCAAUGCUGUGCACAAAUCCUGCAGUUAAUAAUCUUCCAACAUUUUGUCAACCUGAUGUUAACGGGGUCUGAAUUGGUGCUGAAAUCUUGGGAAGAAAUGGAAAGAGAGACUUUGUAUGAAAUCUGGAGGCUUAUUAGGCUGUUGGAAGGCCUAGUUCAUGCAGCUUAAGUUCACUCAGGUGAUCGACUUAUAAGGGGUUGGCUAAGAGGAGGUCGAGCAUUUUGGUUGACAAUUCAUUGUGCUUGGAUGUCCCAACUUCCACGAACCUUGAAGACAGGUAUGUUAUGGAACGAUUAUGAUUUCAUAUGAUUUUGCUAUAUAAUAUUCUGAAGACACCACAGUACUCGUCCAUUUCAGGCAGUGAAUUUAUAUAUCGAAUAUCAAUGUUAACUAUGAUGUAUAUAAUAUAUGCAUCUCUAUGAUGCUAUGGUAUCGGCUGGCCCUCUUUUAUGAUGACUGAUUUAUAUCAUUAUCUGAUGUAAAGAGAAGCAUUAAUUCACAGUAACUAUUUUUGCUUUAUACCUCUACCUAAACAAGAAAAGGGAAAACAUUGUAUCACUACGUCAUUUAUGGGAAUGUUCAUGCUUGCCAGGAUA
This is a long non-coding RNA of Asparagus officinalis (garden asparagus), 2102 nucleotides long. RefSeq lists it as uncharacterized. The transcript has 2 exons. The record is from RefSeq and is a predicted model, not a curated record. NCBI's taxonomy places the organism in Eukaryota, Viridiplantae, Streptophyta, Magnoliopsida, Asparagales, Asparagaceae.